CUAUGAAGAGAGCUAUCCGUGGACAGUGAUAGUUCUGCACAACUGUCAUGGAGUUGCUCUCUUUAUGGAU
This 70-nucleotide microRNA precursor is filed under the name Stegodyphus mimosarum. RNAcentral's name for it is "mir-46/mir-47/mir-281 microRNA precursor family". It matches the Rfam family "mir-46/mir-47/mir-281 microRNA precursor family", at positions 12 to 79 of the family's 85-position model. From Rfam's summary of the family: The hairpin precursors (represented here) are predicted based on base pairing and cross-species conservation -- their extents are not known. In this case the mature sequences are expressed from the 3' arms of the hairpin precursors. Lineage: Eukaryota; Metazoa; Arthropoda; Arachnida; Araneae; Eresidae. The record is from RNAcentral.